AAAAUCCGUCAACUUUAGAAAUCG
This 24-nucleotide transfer RNA is filed under the name Eriocaulon reductum. Its description in RNAcentral is "partial tRNA-Leu". The record is from RNAcentral. Lineage: Eukaryota; Viridiplantae; Streptophyta; Magnoliopsida; Poales; Eriocaulaceae.